Long non-coding RNA from Bubalus bubalis (water buffalo), 206 nucleotides. RefSeq lists it as uncharacterized. The transcript has 2 exons. NCBI's taxonomy places the organism in Eukaryota, Metazoa, Chordata, Mammalia, Artiodactyla, Bovidae. The record is from RefSeq and is a predicted model, not a curated record.
CGACUUAGCAGCAGCAGCAGCAGCAGCAGCAUCUCCUCAGCUGUGUCCAGGGGAAGAUAUGAAACAGAAAAGCUACAAAGUAAAGACAGUCAACUUAAAACAGUUCCUGUUCAUGAGGUCUUCACUUCUCUGAUGGGGUAGAGAGCAGAGUCUCAUUCUCCACGGAGCCCCAGUGUGUCUUUUUAUUCAUUUAAUAAAGAUUUUGG